Small nucleolar RNA from Echinops telfairi (small Madagascar hedgehog), 136 nucleotides. Lineage: Eukaryota; Metazoa; Chordata; Mammalia; Afrosoricida; Tenrecidae. The record is from Ensembl.
ACCCUCCCCGCUCUGCAUGGUUACACCUGCCACAACAUGUGUGACUUUCGUGAAGAGGAUAGAGAGAAAGGGUGCAUGUCCUGAGGACCUCAGGUAGGCCUCCUGUAGCCUGUCCCUUCUGGGGGGGCACAUAGGA